RNAcentral lists this long non-coding RNA (2098 nucleotides) under Sus scrofa (pig). RNAcentral describes it as "lncRNA (ENSSSCG00025056142.1)". The record is from RNAcentral. Lineage: Eukaryota; Metazoa; Chordata; Mammalia; Artiodactyla; Suidae.
UGCUUGUGUCCUCCUGCAGAAGGGAGCUGGAACAGUUCUGGCACUGCUGGCUCACCGUGUCUUCCAUCCACCCUGUGUGCCGUGAGAGUAAACGUCAGAGGCAAGACGCGAAUGCCCUUCAGUGAGUCAUCUCUGGGUGGUCCUGCUCACUGAUUUGGGAUCUAACUAAUCUUUAAGCAGUGUUCUCCUCACCCGUAAUUUUCAAAUCAGAGCCUAAAUCUCACAGACAUGAAGGCAAUGGAACAGCAGCGUCUCUGUCUGCAAGGUAUCUGGUCCUUCGACCUCACCGUGACCCAGUUUCUUCAGGAGAACAUUCCAGAAGCAGAGCAAGGGGCUGCGAACGGUGUGCAAUGCUUCCUGAACCACCUCAUGGCCCUCCAUCCACUUCGUCUGGGUCAUGCUGGCUCUGCGGCCAUGGCAUUUCAGCGUCUCAUCUUCAUCUUCAUCCUAUUUGUAACCAUGGGGCACAUGCUGUAUUUUUUUUUUUUUAAUGCAAGAAAGUGUAAGAUUAGAAACGCCCAUGUUCAGAAGACAGCAAAGAAGGGAGCUUUAACCUGACAGGUAGGCAGCCCCUCUCACCACUCAGAGCCCUAACUGGCCCUCACUCACACUGUUUGCAGUGAUUUCCCAAAGUUGCUGCUGGCUGCCUACCUCAUUCUGCUACUACAUUGGAGAGUGAUUCUGUCAUUCACCACCUUUGCCAGUAGCACCAACUGCGUUAAAGACAUCUUUGCGGUGAUGGCUACUAGCUGGAGUUUGAAAUGGGGCUGACGCAUGGCACGCCCAUUAUCUGAACUCAGAUUCUGCUCCAGACGACUUGAAGGGAUUUGUUUUAAUUUUGUCAGCAUAAUUCAAUGUUUUCAGGAUUUUAAAAAUUCGUUCUUUGGGUUCUAAAAUUACUAAAGAUCUUUGGUCAAUGUUAAAAUUAGAGUUGGAUCAUGGCCAGUGAUGUUUGGUCUCAGUCCUUUGGGUUUUUGUUCUAUGAAUGUUCUUUUGACAGUCUCUGUGCCCCUCAUAAGGACUGAAGCUCUUUGUUGACGUAAAUUAUGGUAACAGCCUUUGGGUGGUUUCUAGACUCUAGAACAGGCAAGGGAUGUCUCCUGCGGAGGUGGGUGCAGGCGCAGGUGCCAUCUGCAGGGGAGCUGGAUCCUGGCCCAGCCCUGGGUCUCAGGCAAGGGUAGGUUCCCGCUGCUAAAGUGAUGGGAUUUGGGGAUUUUUUUUUUUUUCUAUUUUUUCUUUGGGAUUUUGGGAUUUUUUUUUCUAUUUUUUUCUUUUUUCUCAGGCUUUGGGAUUUUUUUUUUCUACUUUUUUCUUUUUUCUCGGGCUUUAGCACCUGCACCUAACUCUUCUGAAUGUAUAGAUAUUGGAAGGGGAGCCAGCUGUAAUUCUUGUGGACAUGGUGGAACUGGGAGAGAAGAAAAGAUUACCCACUUAUCUGCCUUUCUGUGUGUGUUUCCAAGGAUAGAAAUCUUCACAGAGCUUCCCAGCAGCCUGGGGAGGGACUGGGUCUGUGUGGCCUGGUCAGGGAAGAGAGUCCUGAGUCACAGCAGAGCCUUUGUGGGGAAGAGUCUCUGUGGGAAGCUGUUUCUCGAACAGAGGGUGUGGAGAUUCUGGACCUUCAGCAUCACUGAAAGGCAAUGGGCUAUGACAGGUGGGAGGAGACACUCAGACCCUGGGCUGUGACAGGUGGGAGAGGACAUUUCACAAACUUAGGAGAGAAAACACCAUUUACUCUGGAACCAGCAUGUCACCACAGUGGGACCCACAUCACAGGCAGCAUCAGGCAGACCUGCUGAGGGACUGCAGAGAAGGAAGUGUCUGACCCUUUGUGCAGAUGAGCCUAGACCACCUGCCCCAUCCAUGUUCCCACAUAAACAAUCACUGAUUUCUUUAUGAUGGAGGAGAGUUUGUGUUUGCAGUCAGGCCCUCCUGGUGUCAAGGCCCUCCUUCCAGAAGCCGGGGGAUGUGCAUUUCCUUCUCUAUCACAUUUUGGAGUCAUGCCCAGGCCAGCUGGAAACAUCCUGAGCUGUGAUAGUGUCAGUGUCAGAGGUGAGUCUGCCUUUAAAACAUGUGCGCACACCUCAGGGAGACAGGGGAG